Molecule: transfer RNA, 73 nt
Filed under: Ixodes scapularis (black-legged tick)
Lineage: Eukaryota; Metazoa; Arthropoda; Arachnida; Ixodida; Ixodidae
Rfam family: tRNA
About the family: Transfer RNA (tRNA) molecules are approximately 80 nucleotides in length.
Source: Rfam by way of RNAcentral
UCCUGGUUAGCUCAGUUGGUAAAGCGCAGCAAUGGAAAUGGAGAGGUCUCUGGUUCGAUACCAGGACCAGGCG